UAUGCUGCCAAGAAAAGCCGCUAGCUAGUACGUGUGGUGCCCGUACCCCAAACCAACACAGGUGGAUAGGUAGAGAAUACCAAGGCGAUUGAGAUAACUCUGGUUAAGGAACUCGGCAAAAUACAUCCGUAACUUCGGGAGAAGGAUGACCCCAUUAGGGUGACGGGACUUGCUCCCUGAGCUCGAAGGGGUGGCACAAACCAGUGGGAAGCGACUGUUUACUAAAAACACAGCAGCGUGCGAAGCCGUAAGGCGCUGUAUACGCUGUGACUCCUGCCCGGUGCUGGAAGGUUACGGGGAAGGGUUAGCCCUUGAGGCGAAGCUCUGAACCUAAGCCCCAGUAAACGGCGGCCGUAACUAUAACGGUCCUAAGGUAGCGAAAUUCCUUGUCGGGUAAGUUCCGACCUGCACGAAUGGAGUAACGACUCCCCAACUGUCUCAACCAGAGACUCAGCGAAAUUGAAGUACGAGUAAAGAUGCUCGUUAGCUGCAGAAGGACGGAAAGACCCCGUGGACCUUUACUAUAGUUUGGUAUUGGUUCUUGGUCUGAGUUGUGUAGGAUAGGUGGGAGACUAGGAAGCAUUGGCGCCAGCUAGUGUGGAGUCGUCCUUGAAAUACCACCCUUCUCAUGCUGGGAAUCUAACCUCGGCCCGUUAUCCGGGUCAGGGACAGUGCCAGAUGGGUAGUUUGACUGGGGCGGUCGCCUCCUAAAUGGUAACGGAGGCGCUCAAAGGUUCCCUCAGACUGGUCGGCCAUCAGUCGUUGAGUGCAAUCGCACAAGGGAGCUUGACUGCGAGACCGACAAGUCGAGCAGGUACGAAAGUAGGAGAUAGUGAUCCGGCGGUAGCGUGUGGAAGCGCCGUCGCUCAACGGAUAAAAGGUACCCCGGGGAUAACAGGCUAAUCUUCCCCAAGAGUCCAUAUCGACGGGAAGGUUUGGCACCUCGAUGUCGGCUCAUCGCAUCCUGGGGCUGAAG
RNAcentral lists this ribosomal RNA (976 nucleotides) under marine metagenome. RNAcentral's name for it is "bacterial LSU rRNA". It matches the Rfam family "Bacterial large subunit ribosomal RNA", at positions 1601 to 2558 of the family's 2925-position model. The record is from RNAcentral.